AACGAACGCUGGCGGCGUGCCUAACACAUGCAAGUCGUGCGAGAAAGUUCCUUCGGGAGCGAGUAAAGCGGCGCACGGGUGAGUAACACGUAGGUAACCUGCCCCCCAGUCUGGAACAACUAGAGGAAACUCUAGCUAAUGCCGGAUGAGACCACGAUCCCUUCGGGGGUUGCGGCCAAAAGAUGGCCUCUACUUGUAAGCUAUCGCUGAGGGAUGGGCCUGCGGGCCAUUAGCUUGUUGGUGAGGUAACGGCUCACCAAGGCUGUGAUGGCUAGCUGGUCUGAGAGGAUGACCAGCCACACUGGGACUGAGACACGGCCAGACUCCUACGGGAGCAGCAGUGGGGAAUAUUGCGCAAUGGGCGAAAGCCUGACGCAGCACGCCGCGUGGGUGAUGAAGG
Molecule: ribosomal RNA, 400 nt
Filed under: uncultured bacterium
Lineage: Bacteria
Description: bacterial SSU rRNA
Rfam family: Bacterial small subunit ribosomal RNA
Source: RNAcentral